RNAcentral lists this ribosomal RNA (497 nucleotides) under uncultured bacterium. Its description in RNAcentral is "partial 16S ribosomal RNA". It matches the Rfam family "Bacterial small subunit ribosomal RNA", at positions 28 to 507 of the family's 1533-position model. The record is from RNAcentral.
GAUGAACGCUGGCGGCGUGCCUAAUACAUGCAAGUCGAGCGAACGGACGAGAAGCUUGCUUUUCUGAUGUUAGCGGCGGACGGGUGAGUAACACGUGGAUAACCUACCUAUAAGACUGGGAUAACUUCGGGAAACCGGAGCUAAUACCGGAUAAUAUUUUGAACCGCAUGGUUCAAAAGUGAAAGACGGUCUUGCUGUCACUUAUAGAUGGAUCCGCGCUGCAUUAGCUAGUUGGUAAGGUAACGGCUUACCAAGGCAACGAUGCAUAGCCGACCUGAGAAGGAGAUCCGCCACACUGGAACUGCAACACGGUCCAGACUCCUACGGGAGGCAGCAGUAGGGAAUCUUCCGCAAUGGGCGAAAGCCUGACGGAGCAACGCCGCGUGAGUGAUGCAGGUCUUCGGAUCGUAAAACUCUGUUAUUAGGGAGGAACAUAUGUGUAAGUAACUGUGCACAUCUUGACGGUACCUAAUCAGAAAGCCACGGCUAACUACGUG